CCUACGGGUGGCAGCAGUGAGGAAUAUUGGUCAAUGGGCGCGAGCCUGAACCAGCCAAGUCGCGUGAGGGAUGAAGGUUCUAUGGAUCGUAAACCUCUUUUAUAAGGGAAUAAAGUGUGGGACGUGUCCUAUUUUGUAUGUACCUUAUGAAUAAGGAUCGGCUAACUCCGUGCCAGCAGCCGCGGUAAUACGGAGGAUCCGAGCGUUAUCAGGAUUUAUUGGGUUUAAAGGGUGCGUAGGCGGCCUUUUAAGUCAGCGGUGAAAGUCUGUGGCUAAACCAUAGAAUUGCCGGUGAAAGUGGGGGGGUUGAGUAUGUUAGGGGCAGGAGGACUGCGUGGGGGAGCGGUGA
This 349-nucleotide ribosomal RNA is filed under the name uncultured bacterium. RNAcentral describes it as "partial 16S ribosomal RNA". It matches the Rfam family "Bacterial small subunit ribosomal RNA", at positions 338 to 684 of the family's 1533-position model. The record is from RNAcentral.